Lupinus albus (white lupine) is the source of this 470-nucleotide non-coding RNA. The record is from the annotation of a GenBank genome assembly. Lineage: Eukaryota; Viridiplantae; Streptophyta; Magnoliopsida; Fabales; Fabaceae.
GAGAUAUGGUAUAAUUGUUGUAUCUUACUGGUAUUGGGACUGGUUUACAUGUUGAAUCGGUUGGCACGAACCGGUUUUUACAACGCUGACAAGAAGAAAGAUUCCUAAUGAAGUUGUAGGAGUAUUCAUCUCAUCAAACAAAUGGGCUAAAAUGGAUUGCCAAGUAAUCAUUGACAAAAAUAUAGCUAGAAAUAGUUGUUGGUCAAAUAGACACCUUUCUUACGUGGGAAGAUUGCAGUUUGUAAAUUUUGUUGGGUUAUUGUUGCAUUGCUACUAGGCAUGAUCUACUCCAUCAAAGUAUUGUUGAACUGAAGGAGUUUUGUUUCUUUGUUCAUCUUCGAGAAUUUUUUUUCAAAGAAGCAAAUUAUAGUGGCUUGGGAAUGAUAAAUGUUAAGAAGUAGAAUGAGGCAACCAUAACAAAGCAAAUAUGGCCCAUAGCUAGAAAAAAAGGGUAAAAUAGAUUUAUGGAU